GACGGAGGAUGCAAGUGGUAUCCGGAAUCACGGGGCGUAAAGCGUCUGUAGGUGGUCAAAUAAGUCAACUGUUAAAUCUCGAGGCUCAACUUCAAAAUCGCAGUCGAAACUAUUAGACUAGAGUAUAGUAGGGGUAAAGGGAAUUUCCAGUGGAGCGGUGAAAUGCGUAGAGAUUGGAAAGAACACCGAUGGCGAAGGCACUUUACUGGGCUAUUACUAACACUCAGAGACGAAAGCUAGGGUAGCAAAUGGG
This 253-nucleotide ribosomal RNA is filed under the name uncultured bacterium. Its description in RNAcentral is "partial 16S ribosomal RNA". It matches the Rfam family "Bacterial small subunit ribosomal RNA", at positions 524 to 776 of the family's 1533-position model. The record is from RNAcentral.